AUUGAACGCUGGCGGCAGGCCUAACACAUGCAAGUCGAGCGGAUGAAGGGAGCUUGCUCCUGGAUUCAGCGGCGGACGGGUGAGUAAUGCCCAGGAAUCUGCCUGGUAGUGGGGGAUAACGUCCGGAACCGGGCGCUAAUACCGCAUCCGUCCUGAGGGAGAAACUGGGGGUUCUUCGGACACCACCCGUUCAGCUGACCCUAGGUCGGAUUAGCUAGUUGGUGGGGUAAGGGCCUACCAAGGCGACGAUCCGUAACUGGUCUGAGAGGAUGAUCAGUCACACUGGAACUGAGACACGGUCCAGACUCCUACGGGAGGCAGCAGUGGGGAAUAUUGGACAAUGGGCGAAAGCCUGAUCCAGCCAUGCCGCGUGUGUGAAGAAGGUCUUCGGAUUGUAAAGCACUUUAAGUUGGGAGGAAGGGCAGUAAGUUAAUACCUUGCUGUUUUGACGUUACCAACAGAAUAAGCACCGGCUAACUUCGUG
Molecule: ribosomal RNA, 484 nt
Filed under: uncultured bacterium
Lineage: Bacteria
Description: partial 16S ribosomal RNA
Rfam family: Bacterial small subunit ribosomal RNA
Source: RNAcentral